GGGGAGGUCGCAUAGUCCGGCUUAGUGCGCCCGCCUGCUAAGCGGGUACUGGGUAUAAAGCCCAGUCGAGGGUUCAAAUCCCUCCCUCCCCG
Molecule: transfer RNA, 92 nt
Filed under: Anaerolineae bacterium
Lineage: Bacteria; Bacillati; Chloroflexota; Anaerolineae
Description: tRNA-Ser
Rfam family: tRNA
About the family: Transfer RNA (tRNA) molecules are approximately 80 nucleotides in length. Their secondary structure includes four short double-helical elements and three loops (D, anti-codon, and T loops).
Source: RNAcentral